AAUACUAAUACUAAUAAUAAUAAUAAUAUUAUUAUUAUUAUGGCGCCGCUUGCCUUAUUUGCUUGUUUUGGCGUAUAUGCGUAUGAACGAGUUGUGAUCGUUUGCAAGCGGUGAACUGCUUCGUUGAAGAUGCCCAGCCGAGUCCCAGCGGGGGUGAAUGUCUUCUGAGCGGGGACUGAAAACAGAUAUGAAACCACGUUGGUUUCAAGCCUCAAGCGCAGCCCAGCGAAUGGAUCAGCGCAUAGGCGGAGCAGUAGUUGUCCAAGAGGUCUGCUCCAGCGGCGUCAAUUUUCUUAACGGAGCUGUGAAGUGCUUGAUGGCGUCUAUCCCUGUGCGCGAGCGAGGCAGAGAAGCCCUCCAAAAUGAACGGCAUUGGCAAGCGGAGCGGCAAGGAAUUUGGCCAGCGACGGACAGAUAUAUAUCCUCUCCGAGCGGCGGUUGAAAAUCCACUGAACCGGCUGCAGUCCACACCUGCAGCACCGGUUUCGGCAUCCUCAUUGAAAGACGUCUGUAAGACGCGGCGGUGAAGCCAACGGUGUUUACCCAGAGUAACUAAAAUCUGUAUACUACUGAUUCGGAGCAGCGACUACUCCCGAUGAAGAUGCCCAAAUUCCACUACUGACACGAUGGGACGUCUCUUGUGCGGAGCAAGUGACGAAUUCUUCAAGAUAUCAAGAUCCCUUCAGAUCAAGAUCUCCUCCCCUGCGCGCUAAGAAAUUUCUGAAAUUCUUAAGUGCUCAAAACAGCGAGAACUGCAAGCGAUCAACAUCUAUCUCUAUUGGCGAAGCGGUGUCAUGCAAUCCGAAGCCAAAGAAAAAACAAUCCUUCUACAUUUGGCGAAUCCAUUCAUCCCGAAAUUUGAAAUAGAAUCAAAGCUGAAGGUCUGACUUUGUGAACCAAUGGCUGAUCCGCUCGCAAGCGGUAAUCCCAAGCGCAGAUAGCGCUGAUCAACACAGAUAUUCUAAGCAGAGCAGUGAAGCUGUUGUCUUUCUCCUGUAAGCGGUGGAGCUACGUUUGAAGCGAGCCGACUGGUCUGCCUAAACCUAACUGCUCAAAAUUUUCUCAGCGCCCUCUUUGAGCGGUGACGAAAGUGAGCGGAAACAUUCAGCCUAGCGAUGCCUUUGAGAGUGGCGGCGAUGAAUACCUCGAGGAUCUAUCUAUGUGUGAGCGAAGCGAAGAAGCCCUCCGAAAGUGAGAGGCGGCCCGCCCUAAGCAGCGGUAACGGAUCAGCGGGAAAUUGUUUUAAGGAGAUCGAAGCAAAGCGACGCCCAGCUGCAAGCGAAUCGGCCGAUGGGCAAACAAGCGAAGCCGUGACUUUCCUGCAAGAACAAGUGAACCGGCUGGUUAAGUAACUAUGGACUACGAUGAAGCCAACCGACACCACUUGCUCCAAUUCCAGCUGCCUACGAAUCCACAGGUAAGCAUGGAAGAAUGGUUGUAUUACUCCAAUUCACCUUCUCUCCCCUAUUUUCAUCUAAUUUUUUCAAUUUGGAGCAUAAUAUUAAUAUUCUGAAAAUUUGCAAGAAAUGCACUGGAUUGGAUUAUGGUUUCCCCAUUAACUAUGCCAAUAAGUGUUCCAUGAAAAAUUUGAAUGAAAUUAUAUUAGCUAUCGAUUGUUCGAUUUGUUUCAAAUAGGGAUUAGGGGAUUAUGAUCAAUUAAUUGCUGCCCGUAAGCUACUUUCUGUUGGAAUCCUAAUUGGUGAUUGUGCUUGUAUUACCUCAUGCCGAGCAUCAUGUAAAUUUAUUAGCUUAAUAGGUUCUAAAUGAAUUGGUUGUUUCACUCAAAGUUUGAUUAGGA
Long non-coding RNA from Andrographis paniculata, 1798 nucleotides. RefSeq lists it as uncharacterized. The transcript has 3 exons. Lineage: Eukaryota; Viridiplantae; Streptophyta; Magnoliopsida; Lamiales; Acanthaceae. The record is from RefSeq and is a predicted model, not a curated record.